UGCUUUUUGACGGUACUGUACAUAUUGUUCGACAAUUUAUUUCUUGGCAGUUCAAUUCGUCCAUUUAGAAUUUCUAGGGGCACGAGAGCAUGUGUUACCCUGGAGAUCAAUUUCAUGCUGCUUUUUGUAAUUGAUCAUGCUGCUUUUUGUUACAAAGUUCCCUAUUCUAUUUUCAAUUUGAUUGAGGGUUGCAAAAUUCAUGGCGUUGUGAGGGAAUUGAUUCCAGUGAAGGCGAUGGCGACUGGUAAUUUGAUAUCGGUGGGUUGGGAAUUAGACUAUCUCCACCAGAUUGUCUAUAUUCAAAUUACGCUCUACAAACAAUAUAAUUUACACUAUGGGUCUACUAUAUUGUAGAUUGUACUGUUUAUAAAUUGUAGUUUUAAUAUCUAAUUGUAGAUUGCAUUGUUUAUAAAUUGUUUAUAGAUUGUUUAUAAAUUGUAGGUGUUUUAAUUAUAUAUGGUCAUUCAUAUAAUAGAGUUUUGGGAUUAAGGGCCCCUUUGGUAGGGCUCUGGCUUCUCCAAAAACGGCUUUAACUCUGGCUCACGAGGGAUUGAGGGCAGGACCAAAAAAUAAUAAUCUGGACUGGUGGGAGGACUAUAGUGCAAAAAUAACGUGAGCCGAAGCCGGGUGAGCCACUUUUUUUUAGUUCAUUUUGGAAAAGUACUUCACUGGUGAAGCCAUCUGAAAAAGAGGUGUUUGACAUAACUUUUGCAUGAGCCAGAGCCGAAGCUGAAAAACAUUUUUUAUCAUAUGCAGCAGAGUAUCUUUUUAAAAUUUUAGUUUAAUUGGCUGCAUUUUGUUCUGGUUAUUUUCUAAAAUUAUAUAUAUGCAAUUCAUAUAAUUAUCAUUUAACCAAGAAUAUAUGACAGGAUUAUAAGCCGUGACUUUAUAUAAACCGUAAUUUUAACUGGGAAUAUUUAAAUUGUUUUUCA
This 932-nucleotide unclassified non-coding RNA is filed under the name Zea mays. Its description in RNAcentral is "misc RNA Zm00001eb129780". Lineage: Eukaryota; Viridiplantae; Streptophyta; Magnoliopsida; Poales; Poaceae. The record is from RNAcentral.